ACCGUACUCCUACGGGAGGCAGCAGUGGGGAAUUUUGGACAAUGGGGGCAACCCUGAUCCAGCAAUGCCGCGUGAGUGAAGAAGGCCUUAGGGUUGUAAAGCUCUUUUAUCCGGGACGAUAAUGACGGUACCGGAGGAAUAAGCCCCGGCUAACUUCGUGCCAGCAGCCGCGGUAAUACGAGGGGGGCUAGCGUUGCUCGGAAUCACUGGGCGUAAAGGGCGCGUAGGCGGCGUUUUAAGUCGGGGGUGAAAGCCUGUGACUCAACCACAGAAUGGCCUUCGAUACUGGGACGCUUGAGUAUGGUAGAGGUUGGUGGAACUGCGAGUGUAGAGGUGAAAUUCGUAGAUAUUCGCAAGAACACCGGUGGCGAAGGCGGCCAACUGGACCAUUACUGACGCUGAGGCGCGAAAGCGUGGGGAGCAAACAGGAUUAGAAACCCCAGUAGUCCUUGAC
Molecule: ribosomal RNA, 454 nt
Filed under: uncultured bacterium
Lineage: Bacteria
Description: bacterial SSU rRNA
Rfam family: Bacterial small subunit ribosomal RNA
Source: RNAcentral